CUGGAGGUAUCAGAAGUGCGAAUGCUGACAUAAGUAACGAUAAAGCGGGUGAAAAGCCCGCUCGCCGGAAGACCAAGGGUUCCUGUCCAACGUUAAUCGGGGCAGGGUGAGUCGACCCCUAAGGCGAGGCCGAAAGGCGUAGUCGAUGGGAAACGGGUUAAUAUUCCCGUACUUGGUGUUACUGCGAAGGGGGGACGGAGAAGGCUAUGUUGGCCGGGCGACGGUUGUCCCGGUUUAAGCGUGUAGGUGUGUGUUCCAGGUAAAUCCGGUUCACUUUAACACUGAGGCGUGAUGACGAGGCACUACGGUGCUGAAGCAACAAAUGCCCUGCUUCCAGGAAAAGCCUCUAAGCAUCAGGUAACAUCAAAUCGUACCCCAAACCGACACAGGUGGUCAGGUAGAGAAUACCAAGGCGCUUGAGAGAACUCGGGUGAAGGAACUAGGCAAAAUGGUGCCGUAACUUCGGGAGAAGGCACGCUGACAUGUAGGUGAAGUGAUUUACUCAUGGAGCUGAAGUCAGUCGAAGAUACCAGCUGGCUGCAACUGUUUAUUAAAAACACAGCACUGUGCAAACACGAAAGUGGACGUAUACGGUGUGACGCCUGCCCGGUGCCGGAAGGUUAAUUGAUGGGGUCAGCGCAAGCGAAGCUCCUGAUCGAAGCCCCGGUAAACGGCGGCCGUAACUAUAACGGUCCUAAGGUAGCGAAAUUCCUUGUCGGGUAAGUUCCGACCUGCACGAAUGGCGUAAUGAUGGCCAGGCUGUCUCCACCCGAGACUCAGUGAAAUUGAACUCGCUGUGAAGAUGCAGUGUACCCGCGGCAAGACGGAAAGACCCCGUGAACCUUUACUAUAGCUUGACACUGAACAUUGAGCCUUGAUGUGUAGGAUAGGUGGGAGGCUUUGAAGUGUGGACGCCAGUCUGCAUGGAGCCGACCUUGAAAUACCACCCUUUAAUGUUUGAUGUUCUAACGUGGACCCGUAAUCCGGGUUGCGGACAGUGUCUGGUGGGUAGUUUGACUGGGGCGGUCUCCUCCUAAAGAGUAACGGAGGAGCACGAAGGUUGGCUAAUCCUGGUCGGACAUCAGGAGGUUAGUGCAAUGGCAUAAGCCAGCUUGACUGCGAGCGUGACGGCGCGAGCAGGUGCGAAAGCAGGUCAUAGUGAUCCGGUGGUUCUGAAUGGAAGGGCCAUCGCUCAACGGAUAAAAGGUACUCCGGGGAUAACAGGCUGAUACCGCCCAAGAGUUCAUAUCGACGGCGGUGUUUGGCACCUCGAUGUCGGCUCAUCACAUCCUGGGGCUGAAGUAGGUCCCAAGGGUAUGGCUGUUCGCCAUUUAAAGUGGUACGCGAGCUGGGUUUAGAACGUCGUGAGACAGUUCGGUCCCUAUCUGCCGUGGGCGCUGGAGAACUGAGGGGGGCUGCUCCUAGUACGAGAGGACCGGAGUGGACGCAUCACUGGUGUUCGGGUUGUCAUGCCAAUGGCACUGCCCGGUAGCUAAAUGCGGAAGAGAUAAGUGCUGAAAGCAUCUAAGCACGAAACUUGCCCCGAGAUGAGUUCUCCCUGAGACUUUAGGUCUCCUGAAGGAACGUUGAAGACGACGACGUUGAUAGGCCGGGUGUGUAAGCGCAGCGAUGCGUUGAGCUAACCGGUACUAAUGAACCGUGAGGCUUAACCUUACAACGCCG
This 1683-nucleotide ribosomal RNA is filed under the name Salmonella enterica. Its description in RNAcentral is "partial 23S ribosomal RNA". It matches the Rfam family "Bacterial large subunit ribosomal RNA", at positions 1273 to 2925 of the family's 2925-position model. Lineage: Bacteria; Pseudomonadati; Pseudomonadota; Gammaproteobacteria; Enterobacterales; Enterobacteriaceae. The record is from RNAcentral.